Long non-coding RNA from Astyanax mexicanus (Mexican tetra), 1555 nucleotides. RefSeq lists it as uncharacterized. The record is from RefSeq and is a predicted model, not a curated record. Lineage: Eukaryota; Metazoa; Chordata; Actinopteri; Characiformes; Acestrorhamphidae. The transcript has 4 exons.
UUUUAUUUAUUAGUUUGUUUCUCACCUCUCCAGCCUCUCUUUUGAGUUUAUAUCCCUACAUUGCAAGGUACGUAGAGUAUCUCCUUACCCUGCCACUAUUGUUUAGAUUGAUUCCGGCCGAUGGCCGAGUACCUCUGUUAAACCCCACUCUGUUAAAAAUAAAGUACCCCUGCGGGUGGGUUUCGUGAAACUGUGGUCUCUCCUCCAUUCUUUUUAAGGGUCUAGCGCCCCCAGGCGCCACAAUAUAUAUAUAUAUAUAUAUAUCAGUGGUGUGCAGUGAGGUCCUUCUAACCCAGAAGGGGUGACAAUAAAUGCAUGUAAAUAUUUACAUAAUUUUUAAUCAGGAAAUAUAUAUCAUAGCUAUUAGCUAUACUAAGUGUAACUAAAAUAAAAAAACAGCAACUAAUUCAAAGCAUUAGUCUGUGUUUUUAGUUGCUACAGGAGUCUUAUCUGACUGACAGCGGUUUUAACCAAUUAAAGCUUAAAAUGGCUUCUUUUUUGAGAAGGGUGUAGUAAUAAAUCUAUUAGCAAAGUCGAAGGACAGUCUAACCAAUCAGAUUCAUGAUUUUCACUCCGGGGGCGGGCCAUGGCUGUGUAACCCCUUCUCAGCACUGUGUUGAAGGGGCUAAACGUUGCUUAGUCAUAAACGGAGCUCAUGCUGGAUUAAUUCAAUAGUUAGCUAACUAUCAUGGUGGCUGCAAAUCAUAUAUAUUUAUAUAUAUAUAAAGUGUAGGUCAGCACAUGCGCAGUGCAUUUAGAAGCACGAAUCGAUUGGUAGCAUAACUCGACAGAACACCCCGGUUGGCUUGAAAGUUCAUCCUGUACCUUUUAUUCCACUGCAGUUUGCAGCUUUCUUUCAGUUCUUCUUAUCACUUCAUUUAAUAGGCCUGCGGUUGCAGACAUGUUCUUUCCUUGCAAUAUGCAGCUGUCCUAUAAUGCUGUGUAUACUUGACAGUUCAUUAGCCAAGCUUAUUUUUUUUACUUUAGUUGAUAUUAGUUAGGGUUGCGGUUGCAGAUGCUUACUUUCCAUUUAAUAUGCCUGAAAUGCUCUGUAUAAAUUGGUAGUUCAUUAUCUAAACUUAUUUUUCUUUAUUUAGGUGACCUUGGAAGCACACAACUGUACCCUGACUGCCACUGUAUGCAGUUGUGCAGCUGGUAAAGGGUUGUGCAAUCAUGUAGUUGCACUGCUUUUCCAAACAGCCCACUAUGUGCAGCUUAAUUUGAAUGCUGUGCCACUGCGCCUGCACACGUGAGCUACAAAGAUGGCAUAGGCCAAGGACUUAGGGAGUCCAUCCAGAACAAUUGGGUCAGCUUAUUGUGAGGAAGCUAAAACACUGCAGAAGACUGGAGUAAAGUCUACUCUUUACAAAGCUUAUCCAGGCCCCCUUCCUGAUUAACAUGUUUUGGCAUCAGCAGAGUCAAGUCAGCCCUCGCCCUCUCCUAGUGACGAAAUCAAACCUGUGAAGAGGCUGGAAAGAAAUGUCAAAAUGUUUCUGCCAUGGAGUCAAUUACUUGUUGCCUGGACAUCCAAAUGGGUACUGAACCUAGCACAAAA